UACGGAGGGUGCAAGCGUUAAUCGGAAUUACUGGGCGUAAAGCGUGCGCAGGCGGUUUGUUAAGUCCGCUGUGAAAUCCCCGAGCUCAACUUGGGAAUUGCAGUGGAUACUGGCAAGCUGGAGUAUGGUAGAGGAAGGUGGAAUUCCAGGUGUAGCGGUGAAAUGCGUAGAUAUCUGGAGGAACACCGGUGGCGAAGGCGGCGUCCUGGACCAACACUGACACUGAUGAGCGAAAGCCAGGGAGCAAACGGG
This 252-nucleotide ribosomal RNA is filed under the name uncultured bacterium. RNAcentral's name for it is "partial 16S ribosomal RNA". It matches the Rfam family "Bacterial small subunit ribosomal RNA", at positions 524 to 776 of the family's 1533-position model. The record is from RNAcentral.